GUCGAGCUUAGUAACGCAAGCUUGUGAUCCGAGUGGAGACAAUAAGGUGAUGGGACGUUGUCGUGACUUGCCCGGGUAUGGUUUGGCCCAAGGGAGUUCGGUUUGCCGCAAUGGCAUGGCGUUAGUCUCCCACAGCCUCCUGGUAUGCCAGUUUAAAUUGGACCUGACUAGCCUGGGUAUGGUUUGGCCCAAGGGAGUUCGGUUUGCCGCAAUGGCAUGGCGUUAUUCUCCCUCAGCCUCCGGGUAUGCCGGUUUAAAUUGGACCAUCACUUUU
RNAcentral lists this non-coding RNA (274 nucleotides) under Brassica napus (rape). The record is from RNAcentral. Lineage: Eukaryota; Viridiplantae; Streptophyta; Magnoliopsida; Brassicales; Brassicaceae.